This 425-nucleotide ribosomal RNA is filed under the name uncultured bacterium. RNAcentral describes it as "partial 16S ribosomal RNA". It matches the Rfam family "Bacterial small subunit ribosomal RNA", at positions 354 to 796 of the family's 1533-position model. The record is from RNAcentral.
GUGGGGAAUCUUGCGCAAUGGGCGAAAGCCUGACGCAGCCAUGCCGCGUGAAUGAUGAAGGUCUUAGGAUUGUAAAAUUCUUUCACCGGGGACGAUAAUGACGGUACCCGGAGAAGAAGCUCCGGCUAACUUCGUGCCAGCAGCCGCGGUAAUAUGAAGGGGGCUAGCGUUGCUCGGAAUUACUGGGCGUAAAGGGCGCGUAGGCGGACAGCUUAGUCAGAGGUGAAAGCCCAGGGCUCAACCUUGGAAUUGCCUUUGAUACUGGCUGUCUUGAGUUUGGGAGAGGUGAGUGGAACUCCGAGUGUAGAGGUGAAAUUCGUAGAUAUUCGGAAGAACACCAGUGGCGAAGGCGACUCACUGGCCCAAUACUGACGCUGAGGCGCGAAAGCGUGGGGAGCAAACAGGAUUAGAUACCCGGGUAGUCC